CGGGGACUGCACCGCGGGGCCACCAUGAGCCUGCAGUGGACGGCGGUGGCCACGUUCCUGUACGCGGAGGUUUUCCUGGUGCUGCUGCUCUGCGUCCCCUUCGUGUCGCCCGCCAGGUCUGGGGGGGAUUUUGGGGGGUCCUGGGGGG
Empidonax traillii (willow flycatcher) is the source of this 148-nucleotide long non-coding RNA. RefSeq lists it as uncharacterized. The transcript has 3 exons. NCBI's taxonomy places the organism in Eukaryota, Metazoa, Chordata, Aves, Passeriformes, Tyrannidae. The record is from RefSeq and is a predicted model, not a curated record.